Molecule: ribosomal RNA, 1242 nt
Filed under: metagenome
Description: bacterial LSU rRNA
Rfam family: Bacterial large subunit ribosomal RNA
Source: RNAcentral
UGAAUACGAGACGCUAAGGCGUCGAAGUAGUGUAUGUCAUACUUCCAAGAAAAGCUUGCACUGUCAUAAGUAAAAAAUGCCUGUACCAUAACCGACACAGGUGGGUAGGUAGAGUAUACUAAGGGGCGCGAGAUAACUCUCUCUAAGGAACUCGGCAAAAUAACUCCGUAACUUCGGGAGAAGGAGUACCUUAUUCUAUAAGGUUGCAAUAACAAGAUCCAAGCAACUGUUUAUCAAAAACACAGGUCUCCGCUAAGUCGUAAGACGAUGUAUGGGGGCUGACGCCUGCCCAGUGCCAGAAGGUUAAAGAAGUCGGUUAGCAUUAGCGAAGCUGGUAACUGAAGCCCUGGUGAACGGCGGCCGUAACUAUAACGGUCCUAAGGUAGCGAAAUUCCUUGUCGGGUAAGUUCCGACCCGCACGAAAGGCGUAAUGAUUUGGAUACUGUCUCGGAGAGGGGCUCGGUGAAAUAGACUUGUCUGUGAAGAUGCGGACUACCUGCACCAGGACAGAAAGACCCUAUGAAGCUUUACUGUAACUUGAAAUUGAAAUUGGACUUUAUUCGCGCAGUAUAGGUGGGAGGUGUUGAUUAUAAUCUUGCGGGAUUAUUGGAGCCAUCAGUGAGAUACCACUCUUGUAAUGUUAGAUUUCUAACUUUGAAUCAUUAUCUGGUCAAAGGACAGUUUCAGGCGGGCAGUUUGACUGGGGCGGUCGCCUCCCAAACGGUAACGGAGGCGUACAAAGGUUUCCUCUGAACGGGUAGAAAUCGUAUCUAGAGUGUAAAGGCAUAAGGAAGCUUGACUGUGAGACCUACAAGUCGAACAGGGACGAAAGUCGGUCUUAGUGAUCUGACGGUACUGAGUGGAAAGGCCGUCACUCAACGGAUAAAAGUUACUCUAGGAUAACAGGCUGAUCUCCCCCAAGAGUUCACAUCGACGGGGAGGUUUGGCACCUCGAUGUCGGCUCAUCGCAUCCUGGGGCGGUAGUACGUCCCAAGGGUUGGGCUGUUCGCCCAUGAAAGCGGUACGCGAGCUGGGUUCAGAACGUCGUGAGACAGUUCGGUCCAUAUCCGGUGUAGGCGUUAGAAUAUUGAGAGGAGCCUUCUUUAGUACGAGAGGACCGAGAAGGACAUACCUCUGGUGUACCAGUUAUCGUGCCAACGGUAAACGCUGGGUAGCUAUGUAUGGAGUGGAUAACCGCUGAAAGCAUCUAAGUGGGAAGCCCACCUCAAGAUAAGUAUUCUC